ACGCUCGACACCUACGGGAGGCAGCAGUGGGGAAUAUUGGGCAAUGGAGGAAACUCUGACCCAGCAACGCCGCGUGAAUGAUGAAGGUCUUUGGAUUGUAAAGUUCUUUUCUAAGGGACGAAGAAAGUGACGGUACCUUAGGAAUAAGCCUCGGCUAACUACGUNCCAACAGCCGCGGUAAUCUGAGCGGGCUGGCAAGGC
RNAcentral lists this ribosomal RNA (201 nucleotides) under uncultured bacterium. RNAcentral describes it as "partial 16S ribosomal RNA". It matches the Rfam family "Bacterial small subunit ribosomal RNA", at positions 328 to 539 of the family's 1533-position model. The record is from RNAcentral.